CCUGCAAUACUUGCACUAGGUUAAAUGUCAAUUGUAUUGAUCGUUUAACCCUAGAGCGAUUCUUAAUCAUUGAUCAACUAUCUGAUCGGAUCAUGAACUCUAAUGUGUGUGACCUCAUAGAUCCAAACCUAAGUCGGUAGCAUAGAAAUAAAUUUCUGUACCAAUCGAAGUGACCAUCUAGCAGUGGUACCCGACGAUCGAAUAGGUCGAAUGUGU
Molecule: long non-coding RNA, 216 nt
Filed under: Elaeis guineensis (African oil palm)
Lineage: Eukaryota; Viridiplantae; Streptophyta; Magnoliopsida; Arecales; Arecaceae
Description: long non-coding RNA (EGUI_LNC045237)
Source: RNAcentral